ACGUAGGGGGCAAGCGUUAUCCGGAAUUAUUGGGCGUAAAGAGUGCGUAGGUGGUUUUUUAAGCGUGAGGUGAAAGGCAAUAGCUUAACUAUUGUAAGCCUUGCGAACUGGAAGACUUGAGUGCAGGAGAGGAAAGUGGAAUUCCUAGUGUAGCGGUGAAAUGCGUAGAUAUUAGGAGGAACACCAGUGGCGAAGGCGACUUGCUGGCCAGUAACUGACGCUGAGGCGCGAAAGCCAGGGGAGCAAACGG
This 250-nucleotide ribosomal RNA is filed under the name uncultured prokaryote. Its description in RNAcentral is "partial 16S rRNA". It matches the Rfam family "Bacterial small subunit ribosomal RNA", at positions 525 to 775 of the family's 1533-position model. The record is from RNAcentral.